UUCAGAGGUCUCGAGCGUUGUUCGGAUUUACUGGGCGUAAAGGGAGCGUAGGCGGCCGGGUGUGUCGAAUGUGAAAGCCCACAACUCAACUGUGGAAUGGCAUUCGAAACUACCUGGCUAGAGUACUGGAGAGGAGAGCGGAAUUCUUGGUGUAGCGGUGAAAUGCGUAGAUAUCAAGAGGAACACCGGUGGCGAAGGCGGCUCUCUGGUCUGUAACUGACGCUGAGGCUCGAAAGCGUGGGGAGCAAACAGGAUUAGAUA
RNAcentral lists this ribosomal RNA (261 nucleotides) under uncultured prokaryote. RNAcentral's name for it is "partial 16S ribosomal RNA". It matches the Rfam family "Bacterial small subunit ribosomal RNA", at positions 524 to 784 of the family's 1533-position model. The record is from RNAcentral.